GACGAACGCUGGCGGCGUGCUUAACACAUGCAAGUCGAACGGUGAAGCGCCUUCCUUUUUGGUGGGUGUGGAUGAGUGGCGAACGGGUGAGUAACACGUGAGUAACCUGCCCCCUUCUUCUGGAUAACCGCAUGAAAGUGUGGCUAAUACGGGAUAUUCUGGGUCUGUCGCAUGAUGGGUCUGGGAAAGAUAUUGUUUCGGUGGGGGAUGGGCUCGCGGCCUAUCAGCUUGUUGGUGGGGUGAUGGCCUACCAAGGCGGUGACGGGUAGCCGGCCUGAGAGGGUGGACGGUCACACUGGGACUGAGACACGGCCCAGACUCCUACGGGAGGCAGCAGUGGGGAAUAUUGCACAAUGGGCGCAAGCCUGAUGCAGCGACGCCGCGUGAGGGAUGGAGGCCUUCGGGUUGUGAUCCUCUUUCGCCAGUGAAGCAGGCCUGCCUCGUUUGUGGGUGGGUUGACGGUAGCUGGAUAAGAAGCGCCGGCUAACUACGU
This 493-nucleotide ribosomal RNA is filed under the name uncultured bacterium. RNAcentral's name for it is "partial 16S ribosomal RNA". It matches the Rfam family "Bacterial small subunit ribosomal RNA", at positions 28 to 506 of the family's 1533-position model. The record is from RNAcentral.